This 460-nucleotide ribosomal RNA is filed under the name uncultured bacterium. RNAcentral's name for it is "partial 16S ribosomal RNA". It matches the Rfam family "Bacterial small subunit ribosomal RNA", at positions 338 to 795 of the family's 1533-position model. The record is from RNAcentral.
GCUACGGGUGGCAGCAGUGAGGAAUAUUGGUCAAUGGGCGGGAGCCUGAACCAGCCAAGUCGCGUGAGGGAAGACGGUCCUAUGGAUUGUAAACCUCUUUAGGCGGGGAGCAAUGCCGGGCACGCGUGCCCGGAGGGAGAGUACCCGCAGAAUAAGCAUCGGCUAACUCCGUGCCAGCAGCCGCGGUAAUACGGAGGAUGCGAGCGUUCUCCGGAUGUAUUGGGUUUAAAGGGUGCGUAGGCGGAUUUUUAAGUCAGCGGUAAAAUGUCCGGGCUCAACCCGGGCCGGCCGUUGAAACUGGGGAUCUUGAGUGGGCGAGAAGUAUGCGGAAUGCGUGGUGUAGCGGUGAAAUGCGUAGAUAUAUGGAAGAACACCAGUGGCGAAAGCGGCUCUCUGGUCUGUAACUGACGCUGAGGUUCGAAAGCGUGGGUAGCAAACAGGAUUAGAUACCCCUGUAGUC